GUUUUGUUUUUAAUUAAAAGCUAUUUAAAAAGAUGAAUGUGGCCAAAGUUUUACACAAUUGAAAGGAAAGUAAAACGGGCGGCACGUGUUGAAACCUGAGUUUAUCAGGCAUGGCAGGAAGUUGCAGGAGAGAGGCAGUGACCCAAGCCAGUGCACUUGAUGUUCAUGGACAUAUAUUUUUUUUAAAUAAUAAAUUAAAGUAAAACAUUUUAAAUAGAAGCAUAAAACUGAGUUGGUUGGUUGGCGCUGAGGUACUGCCCACUGUGAAACAAAGCUUUGACUAGUUUUUUGUUUUGUUUACUUUCUUUGGGGGGGGAGGGGGGGCAAGUUUGGGUAGGAAAGAAAGCAUAAAUGAACGUGACCCUGAGGUAAAGAGGUAUAUGAACAGCCUUUGCAAUGUACAAAAAAAAAAAAACAAAAACAAAAACAAAAAAAACAACAACAUAAAAAAACAAAAAAACAAACAAAAACAAAAAAAAAACAAAAACAAAAAAAAUAGAGCAAGUGAAACCAAAAAUGAUGUUCUUGGUGUUUUUCUAUAAUGUAGUCUUGUUAGCUUUUUUGUUACUGUAACAAUGCUGAUCUCGAACUGUACCAAAAUACAUGGAGACUAACCGAACCGCAAGGGACUCUCAAACUGAAAAAGAAAUUUGUCACAAAAACUUUGUUGUCAUAGUUAAGUUGAUUGUAGAUGGUAAUUGAAUAUACUCCUUUGAAAAUAUUUCAUCAAGUAUGUUUCCUGCUCAUUGUGAUACAUUAAAAAAAAAUAUGAGC
RNAcentral lists this long non-coding RNA (774 nucleotides) under Rattus norvegicus (Norway rat). RNAcentral's name for it is "long non-coding RNA NONRATT014702". The record is from RNAcentral. Lineage: Eukaryota; Metazoa; Chordata; Mammalia; Rodentia; Muridae.